UACGUAGGGGGCAAGCGUUGUCCGGAAUCAUUGGGCGUAAAGCGCGUGUAGGCGGCUCGGUAAGUCUGCUGUGAAAGUCCAGGGCUCAACCCUGGGAUGCCGGUGGAUACUGUCGAGCUCGAGUCCGGAAGAGGCGAGUGGAAUUCCUGGUGUAGCGGUGAAAUGCGCAGAUAUCAGGAGGAACACCAAUGGCGAAGGCAGCUCGCUGGGACGGUACUGACGCUGAGGCGCGAAAGCGUGGGGAGCAAACAGG
This 253-nucleotide ribosomal RNA is filed under the name uncultured bacterium. RNAcentral's name for it is "partial 16S ribosomal RNA". It matches the Rfam family "Bacterial small subunit ribosomal RNA", at positions 524 to 776 of the family's 1533-position model. The record is from RNAcentral.